This 77-nucleotide transfer RNA is filed under the name Alphaproteobacteria bacterium. RNAcentral's name for it is "tRNA-Arg". It matches the Rfam family "tRNA". From Rfam's summary of the family: Transfer RNA (tRNA) molecules are approximately 80 nucleotides in length. Their secondary structure includes four short double-helical elements and three loops (D, anti-codon, and T loops). Lineage: Bacteria; Pseudomonadati; Pseudomonadota; Alphaproteobacteria. The record is from RNAcentral.
GCACCUGUAGCUCAUUUGGAUAGAGCGUUUCCCUCCGGAGGAAAAGGUGACAGGUUCGAAUCCUGUCAGGUGCACCA